This 453-nucleotide ribosomal RNA is filed under the name uncultured bacterium. RNAcentral describes it as "partial 16S ribosomal RNA". It matches the Rfam family "Bacterial small subunit ribosomal RNA", at positions 29 to 523 of the family's 1533-position model. The record is from RNAcentral.
AACGAACGCUGGCGGCAGGUCUUAGGCAUGCAAGUCGAACGGGUGUAGCAAUACAUCAGUGGCGCACGAGUGAGUAACGCGUGGGAAUUUGCCCAUCGGUGGGGAAUAACGUUUGGAAACGAACGCUAAUACCGCAUACGUCGAGAAAUCGAGAAAGAUUUAUCGCCGAUGGAUAAGCCCGCGUUGGAUUAGCUUGUUGGUAGGGUAAUGGCCUACCAAGGCGAUGAUCCAUAGCUGGUCUGAGAGGACGAUCAGCCACGCUGGGACUGAGACACGGCCCAGACUCCUACGGGAGGCAGCAGCUAAGAAUAUUGGACAAUGGAGGAAACUCUGAUCCAGCCAUGCCGCGUGAGUGAAGAAAGCCUUCGGGUUGUAAAGCUCUUUUAGACGUGAGGAUGAUGACGGUAGCGACAGAAAAAGCACCGGCUAACUUCGUGCCAGCAGCCGCCGCAG